CGCGGCCUAUCAGCUUGUUGGUGAGGUAAUGGCUCACCAAGGCUUCGACGGGUAGCCGGCCUGAGAGGGCGACCGGCCACACUGGGACUGAGAUACGGCCCAGACUCCUACGGGAGGCAGCAGUGGGGAAUAUUGCACAAUGGGCGCAAGCCUGAUGUAGCAACGCCGCGUGCGGGAUGACGGCCUUCGGGUUGUAAACCGCUUUCAGUAGGGACGAAGCUAACGUGACGGUACCUACAGAAGAAGGACCGGCUAACUACGUGCCAGCAGCCGCGGUGAUACGUAGGGUCCGAGCGUUGUCCGGAAUUAUUGGGCGUAAAGGGCUUGUAGGCGGUCCGUCGCGUCAGGAGUGAAAACUCGGGGCUUAACCCCGAGCCUGCUUUUGAUACGGGCGGACUAGAGGGAUGCAGGGGAGAACGGAAUUCCUGGUGGAGCGGUGGAAUGCGCAGAUAUCAGGAGGACCACCGGUGGCGAAGGCGGUUCUCUGGGCAUCACCUGACGCUGAGAAGCGAAAGCGUGGGGAGCAAACAGGCUUAGAUACCCUGGUAGUCCACGCCGUAAACGGUGGGCACUAGGUGUGGGGGACAUUCCACGUUCUCCGUGCCGAAGCUAACGCAUUAAGUGCCCCGCCUGGGGAGUACGG
This 643-nucleotide ribosomal RNA is filed under the name uncultured bacterium. RNAcentral describes it as "bacterial SSU rRNA". It matches the Rfam family "Bacterial small subunit ribosomal RNA", at positions 232 to 885 of the family's 1533-position model. The record is from RNAcentral.